UGCCCAGCAACUCCUAUCCCUACCUCCUCGCGGCACUGACCGGGGUACGAGUAACCUUAGGGAAGAUCGGGUAGACAAUCCCGGUGGGAACUCUGGUCGUAUGCUGACAGGGAAGG
RNAcentral lists this ribozyme (116 nucleotides) under Aedes aegypti (yellow fever mosquito). RNAcentral's name for it is "drz-agam-1 ribozyme". It matches the Rfam family "drz-agam-1 ribozyme". Lineage: Eukaryota; Metazoa; Arthropoda; Insecta; Diptera; Culicidae. The record is from Rfam by way of RNAcentral.